RNAcentral lists this long non-coding RNA (1129 nucleotides) under Anas platyrhynchos platyrhynchos (common mallard). RNAcentral's name for it is "lncRNA (ENSAPLG00000017088.1)". The record is from RNAcentral. Lineage: Eukaryota; Metazoa; Chordata; Aves; Anseriformes; Anatidae.
UGCUCCUAAAUCCCUUCAGCACCCAUCGAGCAGCUCCACACGAGUUUGCUAGGGAGCAGCAACAGCUGGGACACUGAGUUCUGACUUGUUUCAUGCAAACAAGCAACCAAGGAGAAGCCAGAAAUGCCAUCAUGUGCCUGACCCUUAGACAUAGGGGGGAAACCACACGGGGGAGAGACACCACAGCUGCCUACAGGAUGGCAAAAGCUGGUAGACAGCGGAGAAUUCAGCCCCUGGCUGUGAGCUGAUAUAAAAGCAGGCGUCAGCGGGUCGGCUCAGUCUCAAAGCGUGCUGGUCAUAUGGUGUUGUCUUGCUCUGCUCCUCUCCCCAGCACCUCCAGCUGCUCGAUGUGUCUGGCCUGUCCCGGUGGGCACGAGGCUCUGCGCGAGGCAGCCGAGGCGUGCGCGCCGUGCCGGGCAGGUAUGUUCAAAGGUCCCGGUGACACCGCGUGCAAGCCCUGCGAGCCAGGAGAAUACCAAUUGCAGCAGGGCCAGGAGAGCUGUGACCUGUGCCCAGAGAACCACUACUGCCCGAGCCCGGACGUGAAACCAACCAAGUGCCCCCCUGAUGCCUUCUGCCCCGCGGGCAGCACGGAGCCGCAGUACUGCAUGGAGGCCUUCCUCUACAAGGUGGGCAGCUCCUGCCAGCUGGCGCCGCUGGCCAUCGUCCUUCUGGCCCUUCUCUCAGCAGGUGAGCAUCAUCUUCUCCAGCCUCGGGUUGUGCCAGCAGUAGGCUCUGGGUGGUGUAUGUUACAGUUCCUGAAAUCUGGGUUUCUACUAAAGGUCCUUCUGGUUGCUCGCCCCUUUAAAAGGAAGCAGCGACCUGGCGUGCCUUCUGUUGCUAUCAAAAGUGGCCGCGGAGCUCAAAGCCAUCCCACUGCCCCAUAUUCCUUAAUUUCCCUGUAUCUUUACAGCACAGUGACCUAUGGUGUCACAAAUAUGAAGUCUAUGCUGGAACCAGACUGCAGUCACAUGGUGAACAGGCUGAGUGUGGUUUAAAUGCAUGAACCACCCUUUAACAUGUGCUUCUCACCCCACACAACUUCUCACUUUCAAGUGCUGCUCUCUAUGCAAACACGAGUCCUUUCUCCCUUAGUAAGGAGGGGUAGUGCUGAAUAUUACAGCUCGUG